Molecule: RNA transcript, 2459 nt
Organism: Scylla paramamosain (green mud crab)
Lineage: Eukaryota; Metazoa; Arthropoda; Malacostraca; Decapoda; Portunidae
Exons: 7
Source: RefSeq, a predicted model, not a curated record
UUGAACUUGAAAAUGCAAUAUACUUUAAUCCAGAGAUUUAAAAAGUGAACAUACGUUUUAACCCAGUGGGUGCUGUAAACAGUACGUUGGCGGUUCACACCAGUUCAAAAAUUACCAAGGCAUCCAGUCUCCCAGCAAGUGCCAAGAGGCAUUCAUUCAAUGCUCCGCUGACAACAAUUUGCCCAAAGGUGAUGUUCGUGGCCUCCCCAGCUUCAGAAUCGGUCCUUGGGCAGCGUGGACAUCUCAGACUCGUGAAGGAACUGCAUCUCCUGCAGCUCCAUCAGCUUGCCGUGAUCCUUGAUGUGGGCAUAGUUGGCAGCAAGACACAUCAGAUAGUGCACCUGUGGGAGUGUCAGUAGCAGUCAGUGGUUUAAGGCAGGUUCUCCUCAACUGUGCCUCAAAAAAAUGUUGAGGAAUUCUCCAAGGAGAGCAAGGAAACCAGUCUCAUUACUUCAACUCUCUCAUAAAGUUAUUGAUAGAAACUCCAGUGAACCAAGGAAACUAUAUUGUCAGUACCAGUCAUGGUCUUAAAGCUGAAAAAAACACACACACUCACUGAAUUGAUUUGUAGUCGAUGCAUUCAGUGUGUGGCACAUGGAUGCAUUGAAACCAGGCCAGCGUGUAGAAGACAGUGAUGGCGAUGAGGCCGGCAAACAUGAGCAGCCAGGCCAGUGUGAGGAGGUAUGCCACACCCAUCAGCUGUGGGGACAACACUGCUCACACACUCACAGAGAAAAGGCAGCAUGGGAGACACUAUUCACACACUGCCACAGGAAAACAUCUACUGCUUUAAGGAUAGAGAAGCAGGAGAAAUGGACAAAAGGAUACAUGUUUUGAUUGAUGUGAAAAAAAAAUAGUUUCUGGGACAGAGAGAGGCUGGAUUCAUGAGAAAGUUGAGGAAUAUGAAAAAAAAAAAAAAAGUGAACAGUUUCUGGGACAAAGAGAGGCAGGAUUCUUGAGAGGGAACAAGAGAAGCUGAGAAAAGAAGAGUUUUGAGAGAUGCUGUAUAAAGGUACAGUUUCUGGGAGAGAGAGAGAGAGAGAGGCUGGACUCUUGAGAAAAGCAGAGAUGUUUUGAGAGACAUAAAAGAAAUGUGGCUUCUGAGAUUAGAGGUGAGAUUCUUGAGAGGACACCAAGAAAAGCUGAAAAAGUGAGUGAUAUUUUGAGUGAUGUGUGAAAAAGUACUGACAAAGACAGGAUGAACUCUUGAGACAUCACAGGAAACACUGAGAGAAGAGCACAAUUUUGAAUGAUAUAAAAAAGCACAGAGGCCAGAUUCUUAAGAGAUCAUGAGAGAAGAUAAAAAAAACACAGAGACUAGAUUCUUAAGAUUAAAAAAAGCACAGAGGCUAGAUUCUUAAGAGAUCAUGAGAGAAGAUAAAAAAGCCACAGAGACUAGAUUCUUAAGAGAUCAUGAGAGAAGAUAAAAAAAAAGCAGACUAUAUUCUUAAGAGAUCAUGAGAGAAGAUAAAAAAGCACAGAGGCUAGAGUCUUGAGAGAUCAUGAGAAAAGAUAAAAAAGUACAGAGACUAGAUUCUUGAGAGAUCACUAGAAGAUAAAAAAGCACAGAGGCUAGAUUCUUGAGAGAUGAGAGAAGCUAAGAAGAGAGAGAGAGAGAGAGAGAGAGAGAAUCUUAGAGACAAUACAAGAGAAGUUAAGAAAGGCAACACACAGGAGCACUGACCAGAGCACAGGUAAUUUUUCCCCCAAGUCUUGCCCUCCAGGAGUUGUAGACACGACGCAGAGUGUUACCACUGGACAAACACCCAACUAUGAGUAUCAUGAGCCCCAAGACUGCCCAUGCCAGCCCCCCACCACCAUGAAGGACAGCUGCACUGGCUCCAUCCUGUUACAGCAAGACACAGCUGUUAUUAACUUGAUAACAUGAAGCUAAGGCAAAUCCAACCCAAACCCAACCCAGUGUAACCCGGCAUGUCCUGACCUCUGCUUACCAUGUGAUGUGAAGGUUGAACACUUCCCGAAAGAGGCGCAGGGUGAGAGUGGUGCCCCUGUGCAAGGUGCCACAGAACACACCCACACCCACACAGCACAUGACAGUAGCAAUGAGUGUGGCGUACGGGACACGCCCCCAGGCAGUCCCGGCACUUGUGUUGGCCUGUGGCAGAGAAACAGAUGUGGUGAAGACAGUGUUAUGCACCACCACACCACCCAUUACACUUCCUGUCUUGCUUGGUGAAUGAAGAGAGCACCCACAACAUCACAUCAUUGCAUCACCACAUCACCACACCACCACCUCCUGUCCUGCCCCAGUGAAAUAGAACAUCUCCACCACAUCACCACAUCAAGAGUCAGUGAUUGGGUUUAAUGUGAACCGAGGCCUGCAGCGGCCAGGGGUGGUAGUUGGGGGAGGUCGCGGCCCCCAGCGCCCUGUGGGUCCAGGUGGGGGCGUGUUCCUCAACCCGGACUUUCCCACGUCCCUGAUCACUCCUGCCACUGCC